This 257-nucleotide ribosomal RNA is filed under the name uncultured bacterium. RNAcentral's name for it is "partial 16S ribosomal RNA". It matches the Rfam family "Bacterial small subunit ribosomal RNA", at positions 793 to 1055 of the family's 1533-position model. The record is from RNAcentral.
GUCCACGCCCUAAACGAUGAAUACUCGAUGUUAGCGAUAUACAGUUAGCGUCAAAGCGAAAGCGUUAAGUAUUCCACCUGGGGAGUACGCCCGCAAGGGUGAAACUCAAAGGAAUUGACGGGGCCCGCACAAGCGGAGGAGCAUGUGGUUUAAUUCGAUGAUACGCGAGGAACCUUACCCGGGCUUGAAAGUUACUGAAUGAUGCAGAGAUGCAUCAGUCCGCAAGGACAGGAAACUAGGUGCUGCAUGGCUGUCGU